AGAGUUUGAUCAUGGCUCAGAACAAACGCUGGCGGCGUGUCUUAAGCAUGCAAGUUGAGCGGCAAGGGGGAGCAAUCCCCCCCUAGAGCGGCGGACUGGUGAGUAACACGUGGAUAAUCUACCCCAUGGCAUGGGGAUAGCCACUAGAAAUAGUGGGUAAUACCGAAUACGGUGCGUACUGUAAGGGUACGCAAGAAAGGUGCUACGGCACCGGCCUAGGAUGAGUCUGCGUCCCAUUAGCUAGUUGGUGAGGUAAGAGCCCACCAAGGCGAUGAUGGGUAGCCGGCCUGAGAGGGUGUACGGCCACACUGGGACUGAGAUACGGCCCAGACUCCUACGGGAGGCAGCAGCUAAGAAUAUUCCGCAAUGGACGAAAGUCUGACGGAGCGACGCCGCGUGGAUGAAGAAGGCCGAAAGGUUGUAAAGUUCUUUUGUUGGGGAAGAAUAACCAUGGGAGGGAAUGCCCGUGGGAUGACAUGAACCGACGAAUAAGCCCCGGCUAACUACGUGCCAGCAGCCGCGGUAACACGUAGGGGGCGAGCGUUGUUCGGAAUUACUGGGCGUAAAGGGCAUGUAGGCGGCCUUGUAAGCUUGGCGUGAAAGUCCACGGCUUAACCGUGGGAUUGCGUUGAGAACUGCGAGGCUUGAGUGACGGAGAGGGAGCUAGAAUUCCUGGUGUAGGGGUGGAAUCUGUAGAGAUCAGGAAGAAUACCAAUGGCGAAGGCAAGCUCCUGGCCGAUGACUGACGCUGAGGUGCGAAAGUGUGGGGAUCAAACAGGAUUAGAUACCCUGGUAGUCCACACUGUAAACGAUGUGCACUAGGUACUGGUACGGAUGUAUCAGUGCCGUAGCUAACGUGAUAAGUGCACCGCCUGGGGAGUAUGCUCGCAAGGGUGAAACUCAAAUGAAUUGACGG
Molecule: ribosomal RNA, 916 nt
Filed under: uncultured Spirochaetaceae bacterium
Lineage: Bacteria; Pseudomonadati; Spirochaetota; Spirochaetia; Spirochaetales; Spirochaetaceae
Description: bacterial SSU rRNA
Rfam family: Bacterial small subunit ribosomal RNA
Source: RNAcentral